Molecule: ribosomal RNA, 253 nt
Filed under: uncultured bacterium
Lineage: Bacteria
Description: partial 16S ribosomal RNA
Rfam family: Bacterial small subunit ribosomal RNA
Source: RNAcentral
UACAGAGACUGCAAGCGUUAUUCGGAUUCACUGGGCGUAAAGGGUGCGCAGGCGGUUGGGUGUGUCAGAUGUGAAAUCCCGAGGCUCAACCUCGGAACUGCGUCUGAAACUACUCGACUAGAGUACUGGAGAGGGUAGCGGAAUUCACGGUGUAGCAGUGAAAUGCGUAGAGAUGCGGAGGAACACCGAUGGCGAAGGCAGCCCCCUGGGCUAGCACUGACGCUCAGGCACGAAAGCGUGGGGAGCAAACAGG